This 382-nucleotide ribosomal RNA is filed under the name uncultured eukaryote. RNAcentral's name for it is "partial 18S ribosomal RNA". It matches the Rfam family "Eukaryotic small subunit ribosomal RNA", at positions 592 to 976 of the family's 1831-position model. The record is from RNAcentral.
CAAUAGCGUAUAUUAAAGUUGUUGCAGUUAAAAAGCUCGUAGUUGGAUUUCUGGUUGAAGCGACCGGUCGGGCGUUGAUUCGUCUGCACUUGAGUCGGUUUUGGCCAUCCUCUAGGAAAGUGCGUCUGGUAUUAAGUUAUCGGGCGUAUGAUCCUGGUCUUUUACUGUGAAAAAAUUAGAGUGUUUAAAGCAGGCCUUCGCCUUGAAUACAUUAGCAUGGAAUAAUAAGAUAGGACUUUGGUCUAUUUUGUUGGUUUGCAGACCGAAGUAAUGAUUAAUAGGGAUAGUUGGGGGUAUUUAUAUUCCGAUGUCAGAGGUGAAAUUCUUAGAUUUUCGGAAGAUAAACUUAUGCGAAAGCAUUUACCAAGGAUGUUUUCAUUAA